RNAcentral lists this ribosomal RNA (253 nucleotides) under uncultured bacterium. RNAcentral's name for it is "partial 16S ribosomal RNA". It matches the Rfam family "Bacterial small subunit ribosomal RNA", at positions 524 to 776 of the family's 1533-position model. The record is from RNAcentral.
UACGAAGGGGGCUAGCGUUGCUCGGAAUCACUGGGCGUAAAGGGUGCGUAGGCGGGUCUUUAAGUCAGGGGUGAAAUCCUGGAGCUCAACUCCAGAACUGCCUUUGAUACUGAAGAUCUUGAGUUCGGGAGAGGUGAGUGGAACUGCGAGUGUAGAGGUGAAAUUCGUAGAUAUUCGCAAGAACACCAGUGGCGAAGGCGGCUCACUGGACAGACAUUGACGCUGAGGUGCGAAAGCGUGGGGAGCAAACAGG